UACGGGAGGCAGCAGUGGGGAAUAUUGCACAAUGGGCGCAAGCCUGAUGCAGCCAUGCCGCGUGUAUGAAGAAGGCCUUCGGGUUGUAAAGUACUUUCAGUCGUGAGGAAGGUGUUAAGGUUAAUAACCUUAGCAAUUGACGUUAGCGACAGAAGAAGCACCGGCUAACCUCCGUGCCAGCAGCCGCGGUAAUACGGAGGGUGCGAGCGUUAAUCGGAAUUACUGGGCGUAAAGGGCACGCAGGCGGUUAAUUAAGUUGGAUGUGAAAUCCCCGGGCUUAACCUGGGAAUGGCAUUCAAGACUGGUUAGCUAGAGUCUUGUAGAGGGGGUAGAAUUCCAUGUGUAGCGGUGAAAUGCGUAGAGAUGUGGAGGAAUACCGGUGGCGAAGGCGGCCCCUGGACAAAGACUGACGCUCAUGUGCGAAAGCGUGGGGAGCAAACAGGGAUUAGAUACC
RNAcentral lists this ribosomal RNA (454 nucleotides) under uncultured bacterium. RNAcentral describes it as "bacterial SSU rRNA". It matches the Rfam family "Bacterial small subunit ribosomal RNA", at positions 340 to 786 of the family's 1533-position model. The record is from RNAcentral.